GCUCACGCAGGUUCGUUCGCGUGGUCUUGUUACGCCUCGCUGGAUCGUGUUCAGUCAUGCCGUCCUUGCGCGGCGUGAUUGUCGGUGAGUCAGGUUAAAUUCUUAAAUAGGUCGCGCCUACGCCUAAUUGAGUCUAUAAAAGCCUGCACAUUCAGUUUUGCUAGCUACAAUGCAGUGCGGCUGGCGUGAGCUGUCUCCACGAUGCGCUUCGAUCGUGUCGAUUUCGCCGUUCUGUAUGUUGGCGUUAACGACCUUGAAUGCAACAUGGAUCCACAAGAAAUGUGCGACAACAUCAAGGCCUUGAUUGUUCAACGAGACGGCCCCCGUCGUGCUGGUUUUCAAGGUGCUCCCUCGCUGCCUAGAAGAUGCUGAUGCGGAAUAGAAAAUGCAAAAACGUCGCUUGCUCAACCGCAAAUUGACGGCUACGCUGAAGCGCAUGCCGUGUCUGCGGAAUUUGAACCCCGAGCUUUCCAGAGUUCCUUGGAAAAUCCUCCCAUGCACCUGCCAUGUACAUUGCCCUCCUCCUCGAUGUGGCGUGCAAGAUGGCAGCAGCAGCUGUGGGAACAGUUGAAGAGGCGAAGAAAGGUCCACUUUAUAAUAGGUUGUAUGUAAAUAAAACUGAUCGACCUCAA
RNAcentral lists this long non-coding RNA (632 nucleotides) under Dermacentor andersoni. RNAcentral describes it as "uncharacterized LOC126522657". The record is from RNAcentral. Lineage: Eukaryota; Metazoa; Arthropoda; Arachnida; Ixodida; Ixodidae.